Molecule: ribosomal RNA, 253 nt
Filed under: uncultured microorganism
Description: partial 16S ribosomal RNA
Rfam family: Bacterial small subunit ribosomal RNA
Source: RNAcentral
UACGUAGGUGGCAAGCGUUAUCCGGAAUUAUUGGGCGUAAAGCGCGCGCAGGUGGUUUCUUAAGUCUGAUGUGAAAGCCCACGGCUCAACCGGGGAGGGUCAUUGGAAACUGGGAAACUUGAGUGCAGAAGAGGAGAGUGGAAUUCCACGUGUAGCGGUGAAAUGCGUAGAGAUGUGGAGGAACACCAGUGGCGAAGGCGACUCUCUGGUCUGUAACUGACGCUGAGGAGCGAAAGCGUGGGGAGCGAACAGG